Molecule: small nucleolar RNA, 107 nt
Organism: Benincasa hispida (wax gourd)
Lineage: Eukaryota; Viridiplantae; Streptophyta; Magnoliopsida; Cucurbitales; Cucurbitaceae
Source: RefSeq, a predicted model, not a curated record
AACCCAUUAUGCGGACAAUCUCGCAUCAACCUUUUGAAACUCGCCCAAGCAUCGCUGAGCGAUUCGUCAUAGUCUUGUUCAAAAAUUGUAAUCAGUUUCCUUCUUCU